GUGCACAAACCACAGAGACACAGCAGGUGACAGUGGAUACAGCUAAAUAUUCAUUCAUCAUUAAUGAAACACACACACUGUUAACAUGGCCUUUUAGCGGCUGGAUUUGCAGUAAUAAAUUAUGAACAAGCAAGGAUUCAAAGAACUCAAUGUGCAGUUUAUUUACAAAAAUCUCAGUGACACAAGUAGAAUAAUGGAAGUAGUUAGCCUUACCAGCAACACAGUUAGAUGGAAACUGUGUCCCUGGUGGACUACUACUACUCAGGUUCUGUUUACAGGUGGAAUUAUUCCAUCAGGAGGAAAUUCCUAAUUUUAACAAAAUAUUUACAAUUGUGUUUUCCUCCUAUUCACCUCCCAACAAACAUAAACCACAAAAACAUAAUUACAACCUAUAUAUUUAAAGUACAAAAUUGCCCAGAACUUCUACCUAUCCUGCAGACUUGGUCCCUCCCGGAACGUUCUUUACCCUGCUCCUACCCCGGGGACUUCUUUGGGCCGAACACCCGGGAGCAGAUACAAGAUCGGACCGGUAAGUGUUUCCAUAACAAUUCCCUUGUAUUGACUACCUUCCUGCACUAUAAUAGACACGUUAUUUAUAUUAAGACACUUUUACCCACAGCAGCUAAAUGUACAGUACACCACAAAGAACUUAAUCGAAUGUUCGUUCGUCAAUUAUGAACAACCGGCAGCCUAACCGAACUCCCCUCUCUUCCAGGUAGAGCCCAGCGCCGGUCAACUGAUAACCGUACUGUGACAUGUUCAAUACAUAUGCCAUGUGGUGUUCCUCCUGCUCAGCACCUUUGACCCCAAGCGCCAUCUUUCAUCUGCAACCACAGCCAGUAGCUUGACUUCUCUGCCUCCUCUGCCAGCUCUUUGAUGGUCCAGCUGCCCACAGAAGCUGGCGACCUUCCUUGCAGCUGUGGACUACAUCACAGCAUCUGGUCUGAGAGCUGUCUUUGUGAUCUCUGGUGGAAAUACUAACUGCUUACCAAGAUCAACCUGCAUCUCUCGCGCCUUUCCGGGGCGACGCAACAUUGACUCUAGGGUCUCUGACUCUCAUUCUCCAGCCUCAAACUCUUGCUCUCUCAUUUCGCAAGCCAGAAAGCAUGCUGCCAAAGCAAUCAUUUUAGUCGGCGUUCUUCUUCCACACGGACCGCUGCUCCUCCAGCUGCUCCAGCCGCUCCUGGUACCACGGCCGCCCCGGGACCAUGCUGUUCCAGCCACGCCGGCACCUGACGUCCUCCUACACAUGCCGGUGAGAUUGCAGUGUAAGAGGUCAACAGCUAUGUGAUGUGCAAAGAGUAAAGUGCCUCUAAAAGACAGAAUGUUGCAGCGAGCUAAUGAUCUUAAAGGAACAUUGUGAUGUAAUGGUAUUAUCAUUAUUUACUGUAUGAUUCAAAGUGAUUCAAAGAAAACAUGUGAUAUAUGUUAAAUGUCACUGUGUGAGAGUAGAUGUUAGUGUUCACUGCAUAUAAUGCAUACUUUGUGUAAUCCAUAUUAAAGUGUGAAAAAGUUACAUCAUUUUUAAAAAAUGAUACAAGAAAGAGUUAAGAAAUAAUAGUGUAAAAUCAAAGAUAACUUUGUUUUUAAAAAAUAUAAUCAGGACAGGCCAGAACAUAAUGGUGUAUAACAGAGAGUGAUCAGGUCAGAUGAGGACAGGGCCAGCUGUGACAUGACCCAGCAAGCGAAACUUGGCAAGAGAAAAGUCCAGGUACAUUCCAGAAGAUGCUGGCAUAGGACUAUGAGUUAAUGGCGUAUUUUAACGAGGGGACCAAGGAUGGACAGUUAGACUAACCAAUGUUUUGAUGGUGUAAAUUUGAUAAACCAAUAAAAUGACCUAAGAGGCGUGGAAAGUCACAGCCGAAACUGUAUAUAAAGAGGGACAAAGCCAGUACAGUUUGAGAGGUCUUCAGGUGUAUCUUGUGUGCACUGUAAACUGUUCUCGAGUUUCUUUGUCGACAAAUAAACUCUGCUGCCUUGGA
Molecule: long non-coding RNA, 1982 nt
Organism: Lates calcarifer (barramundi perch)
Lineage: Eukaryota; Metazoa; Chordata; Actinopteri; Centropomidae
Exons: 3
Source: RefSeq, a predicted model, not a curated record